Molecule: ribosomal RNA, 497 nt
Filed under: uncultured bacterium
Lineage: Bacteria
Description: partial 16S ribosomal RNA
Rfam family: Bacterial small subunit ribosomal RNA
Source: RNAcentral
GGUGAACGCUGGCGGCGUGCCUAAUACAUGCAAGUCGAGCGAACAGACGAGGAGCUUGCUCCUUUGACGUUAGCGGCGGACGGGUGAGUAACACGUGGGUAACCUACCUAUAAGACUGGGAUAACUUCGGGAAACCGGAGCUAAUACCGGAUAAUAUUUCGAACCGCAUGGUUCGAUAGUGAAAGAUGGCUUUGCUAUCACUUAUAGAUGGACCUGCGCCGUAUUAGCUAGUUGGUAAGGUAACGGCUUACCAAGGCAACGAUACGUAGCCGACCUGAGAGGGUGAUCGGCCACACUGGAACUGAGACACGGUCCAGACUCCUACGGGAGGCAGCAGUAGGGAAUCUUCCGCAAUGGGCGAAAGCCUGACGGAGCAACGCCGCGUGAGUGAUGAAGGUCUUCGGAUCGUAAAACUCUGUUAUUAGGGAAGAAUAAACGUGUAAGUAACUGUGCACGUCUUGACGGUACCUAAUCAGAAAGCCACGGCUAACUACGUG